CUGCCAGUGGUCAGAAGAGCAGAAUUAGAAAUUAACAAAAGACCAACAAUCCCAGUAUUACUGCAAAAUAAAAAAUAGCUGAAUUCAAGUUCGUGUUUCAAUUUUAACAGAAAACUUUAAUCAGGUCCUAAGCUGAAUAUAUGUACCUAUUUCUCUUUUUUUCAUACAUUUCUAGGAAUGCUUUUCUUUACCAUACUAUGAUUACCACAGCUCUAACCAUUAAAGGGACAAGUUUGCACCAUAUAAAAGUGCACAUUAUUCCUCUUCCAUUAAACGUUGUAGAUGGCACUAUGCAGUCAGGCUUGAAGAGUUGAGAAGUUGGCAUCCUAUUGCAGCCAUUUUGAACGACACAGAGCUGCAGUACAGGGCAUUCUAUGGCUUGACUGAUUUAAUGGACCUGUCAAAAAUGGGUAAGAGACAUAUUGCCACAUCCACUAAUUAAAAUGGAUGCCCACAUGCCUUUUUAUCUAUGCAGUGUUACUUUGUUAAUGUUAAAGGAAAAUCCAGUCUUUCUCAAAGACAAGCAUUUCUUUCUAUAAUAUAUAUAUAUAAUAUUGAC
Pelobates cultripes (western spadefoot toad) is the source of this 559-nucleotide non-coding RNA. The record is from the annotation of a GenBank genome assembly. NCBI's taxonomy places the organism in Eukaryota, Metazoa, Chordata, Amphibia, Anura, Pelobatidae.